CAGUAGCCACGGGAAUACGUAGGUGGCAAGCGUUGUCCGGAAUUAUUGGGCGUAAAGGGCUCGCAGGCGGUUUCUUAAGUCUGAUGUGAAAGCCCCCGGCUCAACCGGGGAGGGUCAUUGGAAACUGGGAAACUUGAGUGCAGAAGAGGAGAGUGGAAUUCCACGUGUAGCGGUGAAAUGCGUAGAGAUGUGGAGGAACACCAGUGGCGAAGGCGACUCUCUGGUCUGUAACUGACGCUGAGGAGCGAAUGCGUGGGGAGCGAACGGGAUUAGAUACCCCGGUAGUCCCUGUCUCUUAUAA
This 301-nucleotide ribosomal RNA is filed under the name uncultured bacterium. Its description in RNAcentral is "partial 16S ribosomal RNA". It matches the Rfam family "Bacterial small subunit ribosomal RNA", at positions 509 to 809 of the family's 1533-position model. The record is from RNAcentral.